This 71-nucleotide transfer RNA is filed under the name Loxodonta africana (African savanna elephant). It matches the Rfam family "tRNA". Rfam says of the family: Transfer RNA (tRNA) molecules are approximately 80 nucleotides in length. Lineage: Eukaryota; Metazoa; Chordata; Mammalia; Proboscidea; Elephantidae. The record is from Rfam by way of RNAcentral.
GCAGUGGUGGGUCAGUGGUAGAAUUCUCCCCUUCCAUGUAUAAGACCUGGGUUCGAUUCCCAGCCAAUGCA